This 393-nucleotide RNase P RNA is filed under the name Saprospiraceae bacterium. RNAcentral describes it as "RNase P RNA component class A". It matches the Rfam family "Bacterial RNase P class A". From Rfam's summary of the family: Ribonuclease P (RNase P) is a ubiquitous endoribonuclease, found in archaea, bacteria and eukarya as well as chloroplasts and mitochondria. Its best characterised activity is the generation of mature 5'-ends of tRNAs by cleaving the 5'-leader elements of precursor-tRNAs. The record is from RNAcentral. Lineage: Bacteria; Pseudomonadati; Bacteroidota; Saprospiria; Saprospirales; Saprospiraceae.
UGGGAUGUACGAUCUAUCGCUCCGCCCUGUGGCGGUGAGGAAAGUCCGGACAACGUAGAGUACCGUACCAUCUAACAGGUGGGUUCCGAAGCAAUUCGGAAACAGAAAGUGUCACAGAAACUAAACUACCUCUUUUCAUUCUUUUGAAUGUCAUGGGGAAAAGCUGAAACUGUGAGGUAAGAGCUCACAUGAUACCUGGGUAACCAGAUAUCAGGAUAAACCUUACGGGUUGAAAUGUCAUGUAUACUCCGAUCUCUUUGAGAUAGGGUUACUCGCCCAAAGAUGCUGUAUGCAUUUACAGUUGAGUCGGGGAGGGUAGACAGCUUAGAUAAAUGAUAGAUGUUCCCGAUUUUAUUGGGAAAACAGAAUCCGGCUUACAGUGCAUCUUAUAUU